UUGUUCGCUUCAGCAGCACAUAUACUAAAACUGGAAUGAUAUAGAGAAGAUUAGCAUGGUCCCUGAGCAAGGAUGAUAAGCAAAUUUGUGAAGUGUUCCAUAUUUUU
RNAcentral lists this small nuclear RNA (107 nucleotides) under Saimiri boliviensis boliviensis (Bolivian squirrel monkey). Lineage: Eukaryota; Metazoa; Chordata; Mammalia; Primates; Cebidae. The record is from RNAcentral.